This 449-nucleotide ribosomal RNA is filed under the name uncultured bacterium. Its description in RNAcentral is "SSU rRNA". It matches the Rfam family "Bacterial small subunit ribosomal RNA", at positions 26 to 518 of the family's 1533-position model. The record is from RNAcentral.
AGGACGAACGCUGGCGGUGUGCUUCACACAUGCAAGUCGAACGGAGUAGCAAUACUCAGUGGCGGACGGGUGAGUAACACGUGGGAAUCUACCUUAGAGUGGGGAAUAACUGGCCGAAAGGCUAGCUAAUACCGCAUAUGCCGAAAGGUAAAAGGAGCAAUUCGCUUUAAGAUGAGCCCGCGUCCGAUUAGCUAGUUGGUAAGGUAAAAGCUUACCAAGGCGACGAUCGGUAGCUGGUCUGAGAGGAUGAUCAGCCACAAUGGAACUGAGACACGGUCCAUACUCCUACGGGAGGCAGCAGUGGGAAUUUUACGCAAUGGGCGAAAGCCUGACGUAGCGACACCGCGUGAGCGAAGAAGCCUUUUGGGGUGUAAAGCUCUGUCAACAGGGACGAAAAAAAUGACGGUACCUGUGGAGGAAGCAUCGGCUAACUACGUGCCAGCAGCCGC